Molecule: long non-coding RNA, 41041 nt
Filed under: Triticum aestivum (bread wheat)
Lineage: Eukaryota; Viridiplantae; Streptophyta; Magnoliopsida; Poales; Poaceae
Description: long non-coding RNA (TAES_LNC021281)
Source: RNAcentral
ACCAUGGCGUGUGGUGGUGUAUUUUGCUUCCGAGAACAGUACUGUUUAUUUGAAGUGAGAUGUACUCGUCUAGUGCCUGGCAAAAAAUUGAAGGAUGAAGUGUCAUGUACUGUCUAUGUUGUAGUGAGCUGUAGUAGGAGUGAAACGAAAAUUUAUCUGCUGUUGUAUGUGCUAUUUCCCUGUAAUGUCUUGUGUACAUUUUACUUGAACAUUAAAUUCUCUAGAAAAAAUUGUUCUUACUAGACCUGGUAGUGGCCACGGCCCAAAUAUACUCAUACUAUUAAGAUGCCAUGGCCCAAAAUAACCUGGGCUGAAAAGCUAUUCAGAAGUAUUAUAAGCAGGCCUCGACUCAAAUAGAAAAUGGAAACAAAAAGCAAACAAACUAUGUGGAAGGUAAAAGCCCAUUAUAGAAAAGGCCCAAAACAUCAAGCAAAAGAAUCCUAAAAGGCUGAAUUAAUGGGCUCGGCCCAUGUAAAACGCCGAAUCAGACCGGGCUGAAUCUUGUGCCACAUCAGCUUGCCACGCUGGAUGCCUACGUGGCCUGGUCAGACAGCUAGUGACCAAAACACAACAGUAGGCUUAUUUUGGUCGUAAACGUCUACGACCUUCUCACAGAGAAGGUCGCUAUAGUCAGUUUAUGACCGCCAGCUUUUGACCUUCUGUUUUUGGUCACAAAAAGGUCGCAAAUGAAAAACCAUGACCUUUCAGUGACCAAUAGUGGUGGUCACAAGUUGACAUAUUUCUUGUAGUGCCCCCCGCAACGCUCACUGUUCAUCCCAGAGGCAGCAUCGAUCGGCUUCAGUUAGCAGCGGUAGCGAAGGAAUUGCUCGAUCAGGUUCAGUUAACAGCCAUCGAUCGAUCGCUCGGGUUCAGUAACGCGUAGCCUGCAGUGCAAUCGCUCGGUUUCAGUUAGAGCCCAACGCCUCACUCAGGUUCAGUUAGAGCCAACGCCUCGCACACACGCGCGUACGUGUACGAGAGAAACGUGCAUCGCUCGGCCCCCGACCUCCCACCGUAACCGGGAACUCCCCAAAAAUUUCCUCGCCCUCGCUUCUACCACGGGAUUUUCCGUCAUGGACGGCCCAAAGAAUGUCAUGCAGCUGCAUCUCCGGCCCGCCCAGGACGAAAAGCCCAUUUUCUGUCAUGAUUUUUUGUCAUAGAAGUAGGAGCCCACCACAUCUAUGAUGAUACCGGGUUUUGUCACAAUUAUCGUCAUAGAAGUGUCAUAUGUAUGACAGAAAAAAAAAUCGUUUGGCCCAAAAUAUCACGGAUGUGUCUUUUUUUGUAGUAAAUCCAUCAAAAGAUUUCACCCAAAACAUGAAAACUUCACAAUACAAAACUCAACAGAAAUCUCGUGAGCUCCGUUAGCGAAAGAAAACAAAAGACCACUUCAAGGUACUGUAAUGAACUCAUUCUUUAUUUAUAUUUGUGUUAAACCUACUGUAUUCCAACUUCUCUAUGGUUUAUAAACUAUUUUACUAGCCAUAGAUUCAUCAAAAUAAGCAAACAACACACGAAAACAGAAUCUGUCAAAAACAGAAUAGUCUGUAGUAAUCUGUAACUAACGCAAACUUCUGGACCUACACAAAAUCAGCCAAAAUAGGACAACCUAAGCAAUUUGUUUAUUGAUCAGCAUCAAUUGGAAUCACUAUUUUAUCACGUUCUGGUGAUUUUUAACAAUUGUUUUCGUGAACAGAGAGUUUCUGGAAAUUACAGCAAGAUAAAAUAACUAUCAUCCAAGAAGAUCCUAUAGGUUUAACUUGGCACAAACACUAAUUAAAACAUAAAAACACAUCUAACCAGAGGCUAGAACAAUGAUUUGUUCCUAAACAGAAGGAAAAGCAAAAAAACUAAAAAUAAAAUUGGGUUGCCUCCGAACAAGCGCUAUCGUUUAACGCCCCUAGCUAGGCAUAAAAGCAAGAAUAGAUCUAGGUAUUGCCAUCUUUGGUAGGCAAUCCAUAAGUGGCUCUCAUGAUAGAUUCAUAUGGUAAUUUUAUUUUCUUCCUAGGGAAGUGUUUCAUGCCCUUCUUUAAUGGAAAUUGGAAUCUAAUAUUCCGUUCCUUCAUAUCAAUAAUUGCACCAAUCGUUCUAAGAAAAGGUCUACCAAAAAUAAUAGGACAUGAAGGAUUGCAAUCUAUAUCAAGAACGAUAAAAUCUACGGGCACAUAGUUCCUAUUUGCAACAAUAAGAACAUCAUUAAUUCUUCCCAUAGGUUUCUUAAUAGUGGAAUCCGCAAGGUGCAAGUUUAGAGAGCAAUCAUCAAAAUCACGGAAAUCUAGCAAAUUGCACAAAGUUUUGGGAAUAGUGGAAACACUAGCACCCAAAUCACAUAAAGCAUAGAACUCAUGAUCCUUAAUCUUAAUUUUAAUAGUUGUUUCCCACUCAUCAUAAAGUUUUCUAGGGAUAGAAGCUUCCAACUCAAGUUUUUCUUCAUAAGAUUGCAUCAAGUCAUCAACGAUAUGUUUGGUAAAAGCUUUAUUUUGACUAUAAGCAUGAGGAGAAUUUAGCACGGAUUGCAACAAGGAAAUACAAUCAAUCAAAUAGCAAUUUUCAUAAUUAAAUUCCUUGAAAUCCAAAAUAGUGGGUUUAGCAACAUCUAGGGUUUUGAUUUCUUCAAUCCCACUUUUAUCAAUUUUAGCAUCAAGAUCUAAAAACUCCGAAUUUUUAGAACGCCUUCUAGGUAAAGGUGGAUCAUAUUCGGUCCCAUCAUUAUCAAGAUUCAUAUGGCAAAACAAAGAUUUAAUAGGGUACACAUCAAUAACUUUUAGAUCUUCAUCUUUAUUUUCAUAGGAAUUAGAAGAACACGCUUUAAUAAAGGCAUCUUUCGUAGCACGCAUCCUAGCGGUUCUUUCUUUGCACUCAUCAAUGGAAAUUCUCAUGGCUUUGAGAGACUCAUUGAUAUCAUGCUUAGGAGGAAUAGAUCUAAGCUUUAAAGAAUCAACAUCAAGAGAAAUUCUAUCAACGUUCCUAGCCAAUUCAUCAACUUUAAGCAAUUUCUCUUCGAGCAAAGCAUUGAAAUUCUUUUGCGAAUUCAUAAACUCUUUAACACUAGUCUCAAAUUCAGAGGGCAUCUUAUUAAAAUUUCCAUAAGAGUUGUUAUAGGAAUUUCCAUAAUUAUUAGAGGAAUUACUAGGAUAAGGCCUAGGAUUAAAGUUUCCUCUAUACACGAUGUUACCAAAAUUAUUCCUACCAACAAAAUUCACAUCCAUAGAUUCAUUAUUAUUCUCAAUCAAAGCAGACAAAGGCAUAUCAUUAGGAUCAGAAGAAACACUCUUAGUAGCAAAUAAUUUCAUAAAUUCAUCCAUCUUUCCACUCAAAACAUUAAUUUCUUCUGUUGCAUGCACUUUUUUAUUAGUAGAUCUUUCAGUGUGCCAUUCAGAAUAAUUAACCAUAAUAUUAUCUAGGAGUUUAGUAGCUUCUCCUAAAGUGAUUUCCAUAAAAGUGCCUCCCGCAGCCGAAUCUAAAAGAUUUCUAGAAGCAAAAUUCAAUCCGGCAUAAAAAAUUUGUAUAAUCAUCGAAAAAAUUCAAACCAUGAGUAGGGCAGUUACGUAUCAUUAACUUCAUCCUCUCCCAAGCUUGUGCAACAUGUUCAUGAUCAAGUUGCUUAAAAUUCAUAAUAUUGUUUCUAAGAGAGAUGAUCUUAGCGGGAGGAAAAUACUUAAGAGAUAAAAGCAUCUUUGCACUUGUUCCAAGAAUCAAUACUAUUUUUAGGCAAAGACGAAAACCAAGCUUUAGCACGAUCUCUAAGCAAAAAAGGAAAUAGCUUCAAUUUAACAAUAUCAUUAUCAACAUCUUUUUUCUUUUGCAUAUCACACAAAUCAACAAAGCUAUUUAGAUGAGUAGCGGCAUCUUCACUAGGAAGGCCGGCGAAUUGAUCUUUCAUGACAAGAUUCAACAAAGCAGUAUUGAUCUCACAAGAUUCAGUAUUGGUAAGAGGAGCAAUCGGAGUGCUAAGGAAAUCAUUAUUGUUGGUAUUGGUAAAGUCACACAAUUUGGUAUUAUCUUGAGCCAUCAUGACAAACAAAGCAAUCCAACACACGAGCAAACAAAAAGCAAGCGAAAAAAGGCAAACAGAAAAGAGAGGGCGAAUAAAACGGCAAGGGUGAAGUGGGGGAGAGGAAAACGAGAGGCAAAUGGCAAAUAAUGUAAUGCGGGAGAUAAGGGAUUUGUGAUAGGUACUUGGUAUGUUGACUUUUGCAUAGACUCCCCGGCAACGGCGCCAGAAAUCCUUCUUGCUACCUCUUGAGCACUACAUUGGAUUUCCUUGAAGAGUAAAGGAUGAUGCAGCAAAGUAGCGUAAGUAUUUUCCUCAGUUUUUGAGAACCAAGGUAUCAAUCCAGUAGGAGGCUACGCGUGAGUCCCUUGUACCUCCACAAAACAAAUAACUCCUCGUAACCAACGCGAUAAGGGGUUGUCAAUCCCUUCACGGUCACUUACGAGAGUGAGAUCUGAUAGAUAUGAUAGGAUAGUAUUUUUGGCAUUUUUGUGAUAAAGAUGCAAAGUAAAAUAAAAGCAAAGUAAAAAAGCAAAGGAAAUAACUAAGUGUUGGAAGAUUAAUAUGAUGAAGAUAGACCCGGGGGGCAUAGAUUUCACUAGAGGCUUCUCUCAAGAGCAUAAGUAUUUUACGGUGGGUGAACGAAUUACUGUUGAGCAAUUGACAGAAUUGAGCAUAGUUAUGAGAAUAUCUAGGUAUGAUCAUGUAUAUACUCAUCACGUCCGAGACAAGUAGACCGACUCCUGUCUGCAUCUACUACUAUUACUCCACUCAUCGACCGCUAUCCAGCAUGCAUCAAGAAUAUUAAGUUCAUGAAAACAGAGUAACGCCUUAAGCAAGAUGACAUGAUGUAGAGGGAUAAAUUCAUGCACAAUGAUAAAAUCCCAUCUUGUUAUCCUCAAUGGCAACAAUAAAAUACGUGCCUUGCUUCCCCUGCUGUCACUGGGAAAGGACACCGCAAGAUUGAACCCAAAGCUAAGCACUUCUCCCAUUGCAAGAAAGAUUAAUCUAGUAGGCCAAACCAAACUGAUAAUUCGAAGAGACUUGCAAAGAUAACCAAUCAUACAUAAAAGAAUUCAGAGAAGAUUCAAAUAUUGUUCAUAGAUAAUAUUGAUCAUAAACCCACAAUUCAUCGAUCUCAACAAACACACCGCAAAAAGAAGAUUACAUCAAAUAGAUCUCCACAAGAGAGGGGGAACAUUGUAUUGAGAUCCAAAAAGAGAGAAGAAGCCAUUUAGCUACUAACUAUGGACCCGAAGGUCUGAGGUAAACUACUCACACUUCAUCGGAGAGGCUAUGGUGAUGAUGUAGAAGCCCUCCGUGAUGGAUGCCCCCUCCGGCGGAGCUCCGGAACAGGCCCCAAGAUGGGAUCUCGUGGGUAUAGAAGGUUGCGGUGGUGGAACUAGGUUUUUGGCUCCGUAUCUGAUCGUUUGGGGGUACGUAGGUAUAUAUAGGAGGAAGGAGUACGUCAGUGGAGCAAUAGGGGGCCCAUGAGGGUGGAGGGCGCGCCCCCUACCUCGUGGCUUCCUCCUUUCUUUCUUAACGUAGGGUCCAAGUCUCCCGGAUCAUAAUCUUCCUAAAAAUCACGUUCCCGAAGGUUUCAUUCCGUUUGGACUCCGUUUGAUAUUCCUUUUCUUCGAAACUCUGAAAUAGGCAAAAAAACAGCAAUUCUGGGUUGGGCCUCCGGUUAAUAGGUUAGUCCCAAAAAUAAUAUAAAAGUGGAUAAUAAAGCCCAAUAAUGUCCAAAACAGUAGAUAAUAUAGCAUGGAGCAAUCAAAAAUUAUAGAUACGUUGGAGACGUAUCAUAGGUCAACCAGAGUAAGAUCCGCACUAGUGUGGUACCGUAAUCCUGUUCUAGGGUCAUUGUACUUGACCAUGACGAACCUACAAACUAUGAGGAAGCGAUGAUGAGCCCAGAUUCCGCAAAAUGGCUUGAGGCCAUGAAAUCUGAGAUGGGAUCCAUGAAUGAGAACAAAGUAUGGACUUUGGUUGACUUGCCCGAUGAUCGGCAAGCCAUAGAGAAUAAAUGAAUCUUCAAGAACAAGAAUGACGUUGACGGUAAUGUUACUGUUUACAGAGCUCGACUUGUUGUGAAAGGUUUUCGACAAGUUCAAGGACUUGUCUACGAUGAGACUUUUUCACCCGUAGCGAUGCUUAAGUCUGUCCGAAUCAUGUUAGCAAUUGCCGCAUUUUAUGAUUAUGAAAUUUGGCAAAUGGAUGUCAAAACUACAUUCCUGAAUGAAUUUCUGGAAGAAAAGUUGUAUAUGAUGCAACCAGAAGGUUUUAUGAAUCCAAAGGAUGCUAACAAAGUGUGCAAGCUCCAGCGACCCAUUUAUGGACUGGUGCAAGCCUCUCGGAGUUGGAAUAAACGUUUUGAUAGUGUGAUCAAAGCAUAUGGUUUUAUAUGGACUUUUGGAGAAGCCUGUAUUUACAAGAAAGUGAGUGGGAGCUCUGUAGCAUUUCUAAUCUUAUAUGUGGAUGACAUAUUGUUGAUUGGAAAUGAUAUAGAAUUUCUGAAUAGCAUAAAGGGAUACUUGAAUAAGAUUUUUUCUAUGAAAGACCUCAGUGAAGCUGCUUACAUAUUGGGCGUCAAGAUCUAUAGAGAUAGAUCAAGACGCUUAAUUGGACUUUCACAAAGCACAUACCUUGAUAAAGUUUUGAAGAAGUUCAAAAUGGAUCAAGCAAAGAAAGGGUUCUUGCCUGUGUUACAAGGUGUGAAGUUGAGUUAGACUCAAUGCCCGACCACUGCAGAAGAUAGAGAGAAAAUGAAAGUCAUUCCCUAUGCUUCAGCCAUAGGUUCUAUCAUGUAUGCAAUGCUGUGUACCAGACCUGAUGUGUGCCUUGCUAUUAGUAUAGCAGGGAGGUGCCAAAGUAAUCCAGGAAUGGAUCACUGUACAGCGGUCAAGAACAUCCUGAAAUACCUGAAGAGGACUAAGGAUAUGUUUCUCGUUUAUGGAGGUGACAAAGAGCUCGUCGUAAAUGGUUACGUCGAUGCAAGCUUUGACACUGAUCCGGAUGACUCUAAGUCACAAAUCGGAUAUAUACGUGUUUAUAUUGAACGGUGGAGCUGUCAGUUGGUGCAGUUCUAAGCAAAGCAUCAUGGCGGGAUCUACGUGUGAAGCGGAGUACAUAGCUGCUUCGGAAGCAGCAAAUGAAGGAGUCUGGAUGAAGGAGUUCAUAUCUGAUCUGGGUGUCAUACCUAGUGCAUCGGGUCCAAUGAAAAUCUUUUGUGACAAUACUGGAGCAAUAGCCUUGGCGAAGGAAUCCAGAUUUCACAAGAGAACCAAGCACAUCAAGAGAUGCUUCAAUUCCAUCCGUCAUCAAGUGUCGGAAGGGGACAUAGAGAUUUGCAAGAUACAUACGGAUCUGAAUAUUGCAGACCCGUUGACUAAGCCUCUCUCACGAGCAAACAUGAUCAGCACCAAGACUCCAUGGGUGUUAGAAUGAUUACUAUGUAAUCUAGAUUAUUGACUCUAGUGCAAGUGGGAGACUGAAGGAAAUAUGCCCUAGAGGCAAUAAUAAAGUUGUUAUUUAUAUUUCCUUAUAUCAUGAUAAAUGUUUAUUAUUCACGCUAGAAUUGUAUUAACCGGAAACUUAGUACAUGUGUGAAUAAGCCUCUACUUGACUAGCUCGUUAAUCAAAUAUGGUUAAGUUUCCUAGCCAUAGACAUGAGUUGUCAUUUGAUGAACGAGAUCACAUCAUUAGAGAAUGAUGUGAUGGACAAGACCCAUCCGUUAGCUUAGCACUAUGAUCGUUUAGUUUAUUGUUAUUGCUUUCUUCAUGACUUAUACAUGUUCCUAUGACUAUGAGAUUAUGCAACUCCCGAAUACCGGAGGAACACUUAGUGUGCUAUCAAAUGUCACAACAUAACUGGGUGAUUAUAAAGAUGCUCUACAGGUGUCUCCGAUGGUGUUUGUUGAGUUGGCAUAGACCGAGAUUGGGAUUUGUCACUCCGUGUUUCGGAGAGGUAUCUCUGGGCCCUCUCGGUAAUGCACAUCACUAUAAGCCUUGCAAGCAAUGUGACUAAUGAGUUAGUUGCGGGAUGAUGCAUUACGGAACGAGUAAAGAGACUUGCCAGUAACGAGAUUGAACUAGGUAUGAUGAUACCGACGAUCGAAUCUCGGGCAAGUAACAUACUGAUGACAAAGGGAACAACGUAUGUUGUUAUGCGGUUUGACCGAUAAAGAUCUUCGUAGAAUAUGUAGGAGCCAAUAUGAGCAUCCAGGUUCCGCUAUUGGUUAUUGACCAGAGAUGUGUCUCGGUCAUGUCUACAUAGUUCUCGAACCCGUAGGGUCCGCACGCUUAAGGUUCGAUGACGAUUUGUAUUAUGAGUUAUGUGAUUUGAUGUACCGAAGGUUGUUCAGAGUCCCGGAUGAGAUCACGGACAUGACGAGAAGUCUCGAAAUGGUCGAGACAUAAAGAUUGAUAUAUUGGAAGGUUACAUUCGGNNNNNNNNNNNNNNNNNNNNNNNNNNNNNNNNNNNNNNNNNNNNNNNNNNNNNNNNNNNNNNNNNNNNNNNNNNNNNNNNNNNNNNNNNNNNNNNNNNNNNNNNNNNNNNNNNNNNNNNNNNNNNNNNNNNNNNNNNNNNNNNNNNNNNNNNNNNNNNNNNNNNNNNNNNNNNNNNNNNNNNNNNNNNNNNNNNNNNNNNNNNNNNNNNNNNNNNNNNNNNNNNNNNNNNNNNNNNNNNNNNNNNNNNNNNNNNNNNNNNNNNNNNNNNNNNNNNNNNNNNNNAACCGAAUUGGACUAGGGCUAGGGGGUCGGGCCCCCUUUCAGUCUCUUCUCCCUCUCCUUCCCCCCUUCUCCUUGUGGAAGUAGGAAAGGGGGGGCGAAUCCUACUUGGAGUAGGACUCCCCCCCUUGGGCGUGCCUCCUCCUGGCCGGCCUCCUCCUCCCUCCCCCCUUUAUAUACGUGGGAGGGGGGCACCCCAAAGGUACAUCAAAGUUUCUCUUAGCCGUGUGCGGUGCCCCCCUCCACGGUUACACACCUCGGUCAUAUCGUCGUAGUGCUUAGGGGAAGCCCUGCACCGGUAACUUCAUCAUCACCGUCGCCACGCCGUCGUGCUAACGGAACUCUCCCUCGGCCUCAACUGGAUCAAGAGUACGAGGGACGUCAUCGAGCUGAACGUGUGCUGAACACGGAGGUGUCGUACGUUCGGUGUUGAGAUCGGUCGGAUCGUGAAGACGUAUGACUACAUCAACCACGUUGAUAAAACGCUUCCGCUUUCGGUCUAUGAGGGUACGUGGACACACUCUCCCCGCUCGUUGCUAUGCUUCUCCUAGAUAGAUCUUGCGUGAUCGUAGGAAUUUUUUUGAAAUUAUUGCGUUCCCAACAGGUUCUGACCUAGGUAUUGUUCUUUUUUCCGUAGGGAUAUUUCCGUCGUUGAAGCAUUGUAGUAUGUAGAGUUCUUAUCCAUUUAUCUUUGAUUUGUUCAUAAGAUUUUGCUAGCUCCAUCGCAUGAUUAUGUACUUGGAUUACAGGAAGCAAAGAAGAAGUUUGUAAGAAGCAACACUUCUGUCCAUAUGGCGAUGGUGCGAGGGACAAGGUCCUCGCACUUGCAUCACCACAGUAGAUGGUAUUGUGGUGCCAACCGUCACAUGAUAUACUCCAUGAUACUCCACAUCGGGAUGUCGUCCCCUCAGUAGUUGGACCUGACGCCAUCCUAGCAUGGACGCUCAACAUGCAUCGGGUAGGGAUCAUCAAACGACGGGAGCUCCUGCGCCUAGCUACAUGAAACCAUGCCUCGCAUUCUCAACUGAACUACUUUGUUUUCAACGAGGACCUUAGCUAAUGGCAUCGUUGGCCUUUCUCUAUUCAUGUCACUCCUUGAUGCCGCUCACCACGUGGUGAUGGAAGGAAAAACACCCACCAUUUGAAAAAUGCAUGACUAUCAUCACAGGGAAGCAUAACUAGCAUCAGUAGCAAGCAUGGCCAACACUGAAAAGGAAGCAUGUCGGCCAUCGACUUGGUAGUGUCCGAAAUUGUUAUUUCUUUGGACGCAUAUUGUCAUUUCUUUGGAAGCAUUAGUAUUUUUGGUUUUAAACCAAUGUAGUUUCAAUGGUAAAUAAGACUACUUGAUAAGAAAUAUUUGUUUCCUAGGAAGCAAUUUAAUGGAACAUUGGAAACAAUUUAUUGUUCUCUAAAAUACAUCUUCAUUGUGCCAGAAACAAAAAAGAAUAGAAAUGGUGCACUAUACAUAAGAUUUUGCCAAAUCGAAAGAAUCUCCGAUUGACGUGGAAGCACGAAACUGAAUGAAUGGUUCAAUUCCUAGUCCUUACUACCACACAAGUCCUUUAUGUACACAGUUCAAGUAAUAUAUGCUUUCAAUUUUAGUAAACCAUGUUUCCACCUAUCACAGUAUGUGCUUCCUACCUAGCUCACCACCACACAAGUGCUUCCACGCCCAAAUAAUAUCACGCAUACGAAGGACCUAUGGAAUCGGAGCAUACGAUGGAAACAACGAGUAUGAGAAGAUAAGGCACAAAGUUUUUCUUACACACUAAUCAUGCUUCCUACAAUGGUGCAUCACGCUUCAUACAUGGCUGGAUACACUUCUCCUUCUGCAUUAAUCAGUUAUGCUUCCAACAUUGGUGUACUGUGCUUCAAGCACUCAGAUUUUGAAUAGCCUAUGUUCCAAUGUUUUGCUUCAAACAUCCAGUUCUAAGAAAUAACAAACAAUAUACGCAAAAAAAAUUAGAAUCUAUAUUGGAACAUAAAAUGGAUCUUGAAGGAGUUAAUUAGGACGGAUUUUUUGGGAGCAGUUAAUUAGGGCAGAUUUUUCUGGAAGCAAUUAGUAAGGAAAGUGAUAAAAUCAAUCAAGGACUUAUCUCCUAAUCAGGUGGAAACUCCCACGUAACAGGGCGUUCUAAUCCCACGCUCCAACACUUUCCUAUCCAUUGGCUAUGGAUUAGUCUAAUAGGUGCAAAUUUGCAGUAGUCUGAUGCCUAGCGCUUCCCAAUACGAAGCCCACACGACAGCGACCUAUCCCGUACACCAUAAGUGCGGCUGCGCAUGGGCCGACCCAACUAGAGACUCCCUUUCCAGCAUUUCUUUUUUAUGUCGUUUUUAUGCAUUUUUCAUUUUCAAAAUCCCGUAAUUUUUUUUGUACUCACGAAUAUUUUGGCAAUUCCAUGAGCACUUUUUGAAUUUGUAUUUUUUUGAAUUUAUGAACAUUUUUAAAUUUGAUGAUACUUUUCUAUUUUCUCCUACCUAUUUUGAAUUUGCUAACAUCUUUUUAAUAUGCAAACAUUAUUUGAAUUCACAGACAUCGUUCCAAUCCCGCGAAGAUUUUUCGUACUCGCAAUCUUUAUUUGAAUUCACAGACAUCGCAAUCUUUCCCUUCUUUUCUGGGAGGGUGAGAACUAGAAAGACUGGGAGAGAAACAUUUUUUUAGUAUGCAAACAACUUUUUGAAAUUUGCAGUUUUUUUUCAAUUGGUGAACUCUUUUAAUUUUUGUUUUGAAUGCACGAACAAUUGUUGAACUUGAGAACAUUUUUCUGAACUCACAUUCUUUUUUGAAUUUGCAAGAAUAUUUAAAUACGCAAUCGUAUUUUGAAUUCAUGAACUUCUUUGGAAUUGCGAGCAUUUUUCAAAAUCACGAACAUUUUUAAAAUGACGAACAUGUUUUGAAUUUGUGAACACUUUUUUGGAUAUGUGAACUUUUUUCUUCAAUAUCUGGGCAUUUCUGAAAUGCACAAAUAUUUUCUAAAUUCUUGAACAUUUUUUUUGAAAUUUGUAAAAGUAUAUAAAAGAAAACGAACAGAAAUAUAAAAAACCCCGAUAGAAAUAACGCGAGAACACAUUAGGUGCAGCUCCCUAUUCUUUAAUGGGUCAGCCCGAAAACCGGAGGAGUAGUAUCGAAUCUGACCCGGCCCAGAGGAGAUCAUCUCAUACACGCCAGGGAAAAGGAUAUCCGAUACUGACCUGCGGCCUCCUCCGUCCCCAAAUAAAAGAAAUCGAUUCCUUUUUUCCUAAAAAAAAAGAGAAAUCGAUUCUUGUCCUACCUCGCUCCCGAGUCUCGACCCACGCGGCGGCGGCUGCUGCUGCUACAGGUUUAUACGGAUUCAAAGAUCUUCCUCCCGUUCUUCCCCUUCCUAUUCCUCCCGCGACGCUUCGGGCCUCCGAGUUUUCUUCUAGCGCGUCUUGUCUCCUUGGCUCGUCUCAGAUCGAUUCGCUCUGUCUCGUAGCCACCUCCGCGGCGGUCGCCGAGAUUGCCGUCGGGUCGCCACCGCCGGUACCCCUCUGACCUUAUACCCCCUUUUUUUGGAUUUUUUUUGUUAACAUUAUCGAUGAUGUGUGUUCAACCUCCGUUGUUGGUUAGGGUUUGGAGAGAUGCAGCGGUGUCACGGAAAGGACAAGGCGGCUACCAGCGCGACGCCGCACCACGCAAAGGGCAAGGCGGCCGCGAGCGCGAUGCCGUACCACGCAAAGGAUAAGGCGGCUACUUGCGGCGCGAUGGGGCCGAAGCAUGUCCUCGCAGACGAGAACAUCGUGCAGGAGCACUUAGCACCUCCGGAUCGAAUUCGACAGAGGGGUUUGGAUAGUGCAAAGGAGAGAUCAUCAUCGCUGGUUAUGGGCUUCCGUAGAGAGAUGUCGCAAAAGCGAGGGGAGAAGGGGGAUACAACCUCAAUACAUCAGAAGCAUAAUGCAAAGGAGAAGACUUGCCCCCCUGAUCUGCUCCGCCGGCAGACGCAGGGUAUCCAGCGGCCUGUCAAGAGUCUUGCCGGAGAGAUGUCGCUGAAGCAAAGGGAGAAGGUGGGUACAGGCCUGAUUCCACAGGCGCAUAAUGCAAAGGAGAAGACAUGCCCCCCUGAUCAACUCCGCGGGCAGACGCAGGGUAUCCAGCGGCCUGUCAAGACUGAAGCACGACUUGCUGGAGAGAAGAAGCACAAAACUGAAGCACAUCUUGCCGGAGAGAAAAAGCACACGAAAGGCAAUGCGUCUUUUCCAGCGAAAAGAACCACUACACUACUCAAAGCAAGAACGAGUUCCCACUGUUCCGAUGAAUGUACCAGUCGUCCCAUCGAUACUAACGACCAUGGCAACACUGUUGCCACCCCGGAACAGAGGGAAGAAUCUGCCGCAAUCAAGAUAGAUAAAGAAGUGGAGUACAUAACCCAAAAGUUGAACAAGUUGGGAGUGCGAGAUGAUAUUGGCUUUGAGGAGUACUAUAAAUGCUUGAUGAAUCUGCCUUCCGACCCCUCCGUUGAUACUUCCAUCAGAUUGGAUGAUACAGAUCUUUAUGACAUGGACAUCCGCCACGCGGUGUAUCGCAUCAGAUCCUACAAGGUUUCAUCCAUCCAUGCCUCUAUUUUUCAGUCAUCAAAUGCUGUUCAAGGAUCAAUCCAUACAUUUGCGUUUUGCGAAUUGAUGUUAGUUUGUUCUAUCCUGCUUAUGCUGUUUUUUAUCUCAUAAUCCAUAUCUAAUUCCAAUGGUGAUAUCAUUGACUGCAGUUGUCACAAAAGGAGUCUAAGAAUGAGUUGUGCCAUGAUAAACUGAAAGAUUGCCCUGUGGAGCUUCUUGACAGGGACGAAUUUCCUACAGAUUUCCUCGUGAAGAUGCAAUAUUUUAGGUUCUUGGAGGAAGAAGGUGUAUUAGACUGGUUCUUCCACCCUGAACUCUGCAAGCUUGCUUGCCUGAAUGACUACCAGCGUCUAGUGCCUCGGGAUCAUGUACGUAUAUAAACUGAUCAUUGAGUGUUCCUGUAAUCAUUUAAUUGCCUUUGGUGUUCCACUGUGUUAGUAUGGCUAUUUAGAACCAUUCAUCAUAAUUUCAACACCAUGAUAUACACAAAUGAUCUGCGUGGCCUGUUUUCAGAAAGGGUUUAAAAGUUAUCUAUUAUGUAAGGAUCUACAUUACAGAGCAAUUUAUGUGGAGUUAUUGAUGAGUUCAUGAUAUGUUUACUGGGUGUUAAUUAUCUUUUCCUUAGAUGGUCCAUUUCAUAAUGUUUUAUGCUGGAAAAGGUACAUCAUUGAGUUAUCGGCCUCUGUUAAAAACUGGCCAGCUAACUACUUCAACAUAGUGCCAACCAGGAUAUUUUUCUUUCCGCUUUAUUACCUUUCUUGAUGCUCAUAUUUCUUUUGCUAAAGUAGUUCUAUGCAUAUUUUUCUGUUGGAAAUGGUACUGUGACUUAAUAUUUUCUUUUAAAGAGAACCAACAUACUCUUUUACGAAUAUUAGUACAUUUUUGCUUGUCCUGUAUCAAACCUUGUUUUUGUCAUCUUCUCUCUAUUUAUAUUAUUAUAUUAAUUAAGGCAUAUGUUAUUUGUCAUUCUAAAUCAUGUUUCCUCUUUCCCUUCAUUUUCAUGUAGGGUGCUGUUUUUGAUUGGGAGUAUGCUGAUUGGGAGUUGUACCGCAGUUACUUUCAUAGCUAUGAGAUGCAACAUGAAUACAUCGAGUACUUUGAAACAUUAUUAAGGGAACUUAAGGUGUGCGUCGCAAAAUCAAGCAAGACUAGCAUUCCUGCAAUCAUUAGAUUUUUAUUAUGGGACUAACAACCUCUCUUUUUAUCUUGAUACAGUGGUUGAAAGAUUGUCUACCGGUUAACGAUACUUCUCCUACUGUAAGUACAUGACUGCACAAAAAUCAUGGAAUGGCAAUUUUCUGUAUAUGUUACGUUAUCAAUGGUAUUUCCUCUGUUCUUUAGGCAAGCAAAAUACGGACCAGAGGAAUUUAUCAAGCAACUAAGAUUGCCACUCGCUUUCCCAAGAUCACAACUCAUUUAGUUCGUAUUGGCUUCAGUGUAUGAUCUCUAGCAUAAUCACUAACUUAAUUUUGGCAUGGUUUUGCAUUUAACAGUUUGAUUAUUUCGAUGCAGGAUUGUCUUACUUACAUGGGCAUUGAGGCUAGGUGGUGUAACGGAUCCGAUGGUCUCCAUUUCGAGAUAUGGAAGCGAGUCACUCAACAAAAGGUUAGCAUUCAGUAUUGUAACCCGGUCUUCUGCACACUUAUUGAGUAUGCAUGUAAUUCUGAUUAAUUCAGUAUUGUAACCCAGUCUUCUUCACACUUAUUGAGUAUCCAUGUAAUUCUGAUUAAUUCGUGUUGCUUAUGAACCCUGUAUAUGUAUACAGUAAUGCUUGUUUUUUUUUUGAGUAUCCAUGUAAUUCUCAUUUCUCAACAAUGCACAGGAGAGUUUCGAAAAUGCUUUGAAGGAAGUCUAUUUACUGAACAAGUGUCCGUCGCGGCAAGAUAGCAUCAAGUAUGCCAUAGAGUAUGACCAUUCCCUUAUGAAACUAGAGGUAGGCUCUUCUUCACAGAUAAUUGUAAGCUCAGAAUUUGCAACAUGCAUGCUUAUCUCUUUUGCUUCACAGAUAGUUGUAAGCCCAGAAUUUGUAACGUGCAUGCUUAUCUCUUUUGCUUCUUUUCUUCACCUUUUCAGUUUCUUCAUUGCACGGCAAGUGUUCCCAAGGAAGUAAGUACUGUGAUAUGCGUGUGGGAUUGAUCCAAUGGAUUAAAUGUUCUUAUAUUUGAUUUGAUUUCACGUCUGAUUGCCUUAGGUAUCAGAGGAGAAAGCUCAGGAGUUGAUUACAGAGAAAGUUAAAAAGCUGGUACUGUACUCGAAAGAAAUUGCAUCUUGAUAUGAUAUAUAUGUAUACAUAUUAUUUCAAAGGUACCGUUACGCUAAGAAAAAAUCAUUUAUUUACAGAGGAUAAAAUCCAAAUUCUUUGACGAGUAUAUCAGAAAGAAGAUACGCAUUGCCAAAGCUAUAAGAUUGAUUACCGAGGUAUACUAUCCUAAUCUUUGUUUAUAAUUGCAUAUAACUUGAUAUCUUUUCUGUCAAAGGUAACCAAAUUAUAUGCACACCCUAACAGCGAUUGUAUGAUUUUACUUUUGCAGGUUUAAGAAGAUGCAUAUUGGGCCUGGCUUUUCGUCCUUGGAGCUUCCAUUUCUUCAAGAUGCCUUUUCAUGGAUUCCAGCACUUUUGCUGCUGCAAUGAAUACUGAACUAGAUCAGAUUCGUAGCUCUUACAAAGUACUCCCUCCGUUUCUUUUUAGUCCGCAUAUAAGGUUUGGUCAAAGUCAAGUUUUGUAGAGUUUGACUAACUUUAUAUUAAAAAAUAUAAACAUUCACAAUAUGAAAUCAAUACUAUCAGAUGCACCAUGAAACGUAUGUUCAUACUAUAUAGUUUCAGUAUUGUAGAUGUUCAUAUUUUUUUAUAUAAAUUUGGUCAAACUUUGUGAUCUUAUAUGCGGAGUAAAAAGAAACGGAGGGAGUACAGUAGUAUAGUACUACUAGUCUAUUAGAUGGAUGAUUUGAGUAUGUGCCUGCAACCGCCUGCGUCAUUUGAUUUUAUCAGCCACCUCUGUGGUUUUCUGUUUAUGUGCCACUUGGCCACUAGGAGUAUUCUACUAGCCCUAUCCAUUAAGUCAUAUCAGUUUCGUUCCCAGUAACUUAACACAAGUUUUACAUACUAGCGCGCAAAGGCUGCCGCGCCCAUCAAAGCCUGUUUGUGUGCGUCUGUUUUGCUUUUGUAAUGAGGGAAACGAGAACAAUGCGCUUUGAAAGCGAGCUGAUGGCGUGAAAGUAUCUGUAUAUUUAGCACGUUCAUGCAGGUCCUUGUACUUUCUUAUUUGUAGAAGCUAUAGGGAGGUCAUAGCAACAUGCAAGGAAGUUUCUUUCCACGUGAAAGAGAGUGGAGGAGUUGUGACAACAUCGCUUACUAUGCCAAGGAUCCGGACAAACUACCACCAACACCAACGGGGAGGAGUUGGGACAGAAAGAUGGUUGGUUGUGCCAUUGAAAGUCUGGUAGUGUGCGAAGUGAAAUAGUGUUAGAGGUGUGUGUGUUUUAGAUCUUGGCCACUGGUAUAUCUAUAUUUAUAGAUAGAUUUGUCAUUUCCGGUCAAUCACCAGUUUGAUAAUUGUUCUUGGCCACUGAUAUCUGUUUAUGCACAUAACAAGACCAUGUACAUUCGUACAUGCAAGGGAAGAGUUUCGUUAGCAAGAGAUCUUGGAGAAACUUUACUGCCAAUCUACGUGUUUAAUCUUUUUUCUUUUGAAACGGAGGCAAAGAUUGCCUCAUCUAUUAAUUAAGCAGAAGAGAAUUGUCCAGUUAAUUACGAAAAAUCGGGCAAAAACCAGAACAACAAGAGUCAAGCCCACCCCAGAGACAAAAGCACUCAGGGCAAAGCCUACCCUAAUCGAUAACAUGUCGACCUGCGGUCAGACAACGCAACUCCGACUCUGACGGAGAACUCAGAAGAGCCAGACAACGCAACUCCAACUCUGACGGAGAACUCAGAAGAACAAAAUCAUGCGGAAGCUGGUGCCACAGAAAAUCGCCGAACGGGCCACUUGCAGCCAGUCAUCGUAUACCACAGGGCCCCGCCGCCGCAGCUUCGACUCCACAACAACAAACAAACCGAAGCAAAACCGCGGACACGCCGGAGAAGCCUGGUAUCGCUCCCACCAUCAUCGUUGCCACAGAAGCCUGGUCGCCACAGAGAUCCUCUCGGGGCCGCCGCCCCGACAUCCACCGCUCCGUCGCGCCCAGCGCUCUCCACCAGCACCGCCUUCCGAGGCCGCCGCCUCGACAUACCACCGCUCUCAUCGAGCAGCAACGCCGCACAGCCCAGCUGCCCGUAGCCCACGAUGCUUAGGGCAACUUCUCGCAGACCACGAACGUUGCACCACAUCCGAGGCCGCCGCCCCGACGUAGAGUCAGACCGCCCCCUCUGGGGCGCAUCGACCGAGCCGACACCCCCACCGCCCAAGUGGGACAAGGAUGCCACCCAACCAAUGUCGAGAGCGAGCCCCACCUCAUAGAGCCGCCACUCGCAUUGUUCCCGAGAUCGCCAUCUCGGCGCACAAACAAAAACCACUCGGAGCCGCCGCCCCGACGUCCACUGUCCCCGCCGACGAAGAGAUCCGUGCAAACCGCAAUAUGCUGACUCUCCAAGGCGAUGCCUCAAAGAAGGGAACAACGUAGCCGUCGGCAUCGCCCGCUUCGACCAUCCGAAGCUAAAGAUUUCUCCCGGAGAGUCGUGUAAUGGAGCUCCACGGCUACACCUUCAAGAAGGAGAACGGCACCAUGGCCAUGGCGCCGCUGUUGCCGGCAUCGACCCAAAGUCAGUGCUGGACUUUCGCCCGGAGCUCCUCCACACCUUCGAAUCCGAGCAGAUCCGAAGCACUGCGCAGCACACAAUCUCCGGUCGACGUCCACCGGCUCCUCGUCGUGGUGCAGCAGCCGCCGCACCUCUCAAAAACGCGCGGAGCCGCCAGAUCCGCGGCCUCCCUGCCGUAACCAUGCUGCGCACGCCUCCCCACGCCCGCUCGCCGCACAUCCGGCCAUAGUCGAUCUGAAAUGUCUUAUAGCCAAAUAAGAUAAUAGUUUCACAUAUAUAUUCCAAGCGCCAAUGCUUUUUCUAAGGAACUCACAUACCUUUUUACACAAUCAAACUGCCAUUUAGCCCCAUGUACAAACAAUCUAAGGACAUGAGACAGAGGGAAAGGAGAGGUAAAACAUCACCGAGCAUAAAACUGGGGUGGGCAGUGAGGCCACACCUACAUCAACAAUGAACUUUUCUUAAGAGAAAGUAGAACCUCCAAAAAAACCAAGAAUGGAUAAAUAAUACGAAUCUCAUAUAUAGUAUGAAGCUAUAGAAGCAAGUAAAACCGUGGAUUAAUGAAUAUCGGGUGAAGAAAAUAGACUCCAAUAAUUAGACAUAUGUAAAUAGCUUUGAGUAAAUUUAGCCAAGGAUGUCCAUAUCAUAAGGGCAUCUCCAGCCGCGCCCCCAGAAAAGCCUUCCUAGGCGUUUUUUUUGCGCCGGCGCCGAAAAAUCGGCCCAAUCGCGCCCCCAGAAGCCCGAUUUUCGCCGGCUUGGGCCGAAAACAGCGCCGGCGGACCCAGGCCGAACCCGGCGCGCUGGGGAGCGCCCGGGGGCGCCGGGCGAACUUUUUUGGCGCGAAAAAGCCGCGGGCCCGCCGCGUCAGCGACACGGCUCUCUUCUCGGCCCUUCGUCGUCCUCAUCGCCUCGUUUCCCGCGGCGAAUCAAUGCCAAAGUUGCCGCGCAGCCGCGCCGGUCAGCCUGCGCCAUUGAUGCCUCACGGGCGGCGCAGUGAAGGCUGGAUGACGCGCGUCCCUCGGCCUCCCUCGCCCGCCACGCGUGCACACGGCGGACACGCGUACGGGCGGCGCCUCGGUCUAUAUAAGACGCGCACCAGCGUGCUCGGCAAUCACACUCUCUCGCCGUCGUCGUUCCUCCUCUCCUCUCUCUCGCCGUCUCCAGUUCAUCACCCAUGGCCGAGCGCUACCCAGGCGACGGCGCGGCGGCGAACGGCCGCCGCCAUCUUCACGAGGACGAGGCUCGCCUCCUCUACGAGGCCGAGUACCCGGUCCCGCCGGACAUGCUGGUGCCCGGCGCGUGGAGGAUCAGCGUCGGCGGCGUGCCGGUGCCCCCGGUGCCCACCGGCGCGGCGCGGCGUGCGGAGAUCGCACGCAUCCGCUCGAACCUGCCGCGGGCGGCGAGAAAGGGGCCGCGGUACGUCCUCGACAGCCCACUCUGGGAGCCUUACUUCCGCCGCCGUCACGCCCAGCAGCUCGAGGCUACCAACGAUGUAGAGCCCUCCGGCAGGCUCAACUCCGCCGGCCGGCGUCGGUGGUGGGGCGUGCCCGGGCGCACGUUGAAGGCCGUCCUCGAGUACAUCGAGGGCGACAACACGCUGCGCCUCGAGUACCCCGCUCCCCCUUCCUUCUCACGCCGCCGGGGAAGCUCCUGGGCCCCGAGGCGCAUGAAGAUCGGGGGGUCUUCCUCCUCGUCCGGCGGCUCGCCCUGCCUCCUGGGGGCCAACGGCUGGAGCUUCCCAUCCAAUUUUUGCACCUUCUAGCUGUCUAUUACGAACUGGAACAGCCUGAUCCCAUGGGCACAAAGGAACUCGUGUUUGGUCUUUACGUACCGAAAGCAUACAAAACGAAUGAGAAGAACGGCACCGGUAUCUCAAAGAAUAAAUUACAUACCUAGCCGAAUAACACACUACGGUGCGUUGCUUCCUUUCAUAGGCUUCGAUGCCGCGCUCCAACAACCUCGGCCAUGGCGUUCAUUCAUUCACGAACGCCAAUGCCGUGGCCCCCACCCAAAUAUCAAGUUGAGUAGCGUGAAGAGCAGCAUCGACAUAAAUGAUGCCCACCAACUGAGGGUGACGCGGUGAGUUGCAACUCUCGGCCAACAGUUUAUUUUGAAGUUCGUUUGGGUGAAGAUUUAUUCGAGGGGAAACCGAGGGCGACAUGGUAGAAUGCAGAGGAGAAAGACCGGGACGUACCAGGGGUAUUAGUUCGUCCAAUGCCACCUGAUGUUCGUGGUCCAGGAAGGUGCAGCUUGCAAGUCACAACAGGCUGCCAUGGCCGCUUGGUGAAUGCGUGUCGCCACGAGAUGUCAGGGAGAUGCACCGCUGGACGGUUCUACUGCAUUGGCCUAUUAUGUAUGUGUUGUCGCUUUUGUGUGUGUGAGAGAGAGAGAGUAAUUAGGACACGGCGUCUCUUUUCAUAAUCAAUGAGAAAAUCAUAGAUCAACAAAAACCAAAAAUAUACGUGGUAAUAACCUAGAUCAAUCAAAACCAAAAAUAUACAUGGUAAUAGGUAAAUUCCGGUAUAAUUACAGUCGAAAUUCCAGUCUUAGAAUUUAUUCUAUGUAAUUUACACUGUAAAUUGAGUAAUUCUACUGUCUUUACUGUAAUUACUUUUUUCUUCUAAUUUUCCAGUCUAAAUCUACUGCAAAUGCACUGUAAAAACUCAUUGUAAUUGCUAAUCCUGAUCACUGCUUACAGUAAAUUUCAGUUCCCCCAAGUUUCAACCAGUUCCCCUUAUGUUUGUUCCAAAGGUUCAGCUAGUUCCCCCCAUGUUUAUGUGCAGAUGCUGAGAAUGUAGGGAGAGGGAGUGGUUGCUCGCAGUCACAGGAGGUAGGAGUUCUUUUUGGGUUGUAAACCCGGGGACCCUUUUACUUUCUUUUUGGGUCUGCUUUUUUAUUUCUUGCAGGCCCGUUUAAAAGGAAGAGAGGGAAGGUGGGACAACAACAGCUACAAUCGGAGGACAGGAAGCGGAGACAGGUGACCGUUGUCAAACUCUGGAUGGCCCAAAAAUACUUCCUUUGUUUCAAAUUACUCGUCGUGGUUUUUGAACUAAAACCACGACGAGUAAUUUGAAAACGGAGCAAGUAUGACCGAAAGCGAAUUGAAUUUCAGUCCCACUUAACUUUUCCCGUUUCUCUCUUUUUCACACUAAUUAGCUUGGCGAGGCUAACGAUGUCCUAGUGCGCGCCCGCGGUUGGAUGAGGUAGCAGGGGCGGCUUCGCGAUCCCUGUUCCUGGCGAGUGGCGACCUUGCGCACGUGUAACCUGUUGUCCCCGGCAGUGGCGCCGUCCCUCCGCCCCUGGCGGCGGCGGAUGGAAGCGGCUGGCUGCACUGGGUGACGAGGGCUGGGACGUGAUCGACGGGAUCGACCGCAAGUACGCGCUGGACAGGGAGCUCGGCCGCGACGAGUUCCGGGUCACGUACCUGUGAGUUCAUCGGGACAUCUUCGCUGCUCCUGUCGUGUCGCUAGCCAGCCGAUGAUGGCUCGCGUCCUACGCACCAUGGCGCCCAACUGGCACGAGCUCCACUACCAGCCCGGCGACGGCGUCAGCUUCACCAUGGCCGACUACGCUCUUAUCGGCAUAGACGAGCCGACGGAGCUUGCCAGGACUCCCCUGCUCGUGCAACGACUGCUGGAAGGCGGCGACGCGGCGUGGUGCUCGCUCUGCAGGCCAGCCUGCUGCGCCGUGGCGGCCUCGCCAUUUGUGCUUUUGCGUGACCGUCCACCAUGCCGCCUGCGAUGGCGCGUGCUCCACACGCGCCUCCCGUCGUCGGCCGCACCUUCAUCCACGACUGCGAGGACCUCCACGAUGCCUUCGCCGCCCUCAGGCCGUACAGGGUGUUGGAACCAAGGCCGCGCCCUAGCUCGCCGGAGCUCUCUCCCUCUCUGUACUUCUCUCUCUGGCGCACACCGAGGAAGAAAAGGAAGAAGAAGGAGACACAGUGGACAAGACGUUGCCGGCGCACGAACGCCCCGCCGCGAGAAAAUUACAUCUACAGUAACUGAACUUGACUCUAGGGUUCACUUUGGUCACUGUAUUCACGAAAUCGCAAGUUACGGUCACCGGGCUCGCUGAACCGGGUCACUAUACGGUAACCCAUACCGUUUCGGCUCGUAUCGGCCCGAUUUGACCAGAAACCCGCUUUGACUCGCUAGCUGGACAUGACACGUCGACAAAACUUAAAGNNNNNNNNNNNNNNNNNNNNNNNNNNNNNNNNNNNNNNNNNNNNNNNNNNNNNNNNNNNNNNNNNNNNNNNNNNNNNNNNNNNNNNNNNNNNNNNNNNNNNNNNNNNNNNNNNNNNNNNNNNNNNNNNNNNNNNNNNNNNNNNNNNNNNNNNNNNNNNNNNNNNNNNNNNNNNNNNNNNNNNNNNNNNNNNNNNNNNNNNNNNNNNNNNNNNNNNNNNNNNNNNNNNNNNNNNNNNNGUUCGGUCGAGACGCUUCACCUUUUCAUUGACGCCUCCGAGGCAUAGGAGAAGAGAAAGGAAAGGGGAAGCGAUCGCGGUGCUGAUCGGCUAGGGUUUCGUCGCCGCCGGCGGAGGCAUCCACCGACGGAGCGACGGCGGCCAGAGGGUUCGUCGACGACUUGAACCAUGGCGCCUCGUCGCCGAGCAGAAGGAGACCCACCACCUGUGUAUGGUAAACCCCUGUUUUCUCCCUGAACCUCUGUAAAACCGCCCUUUUCUCUCUGAAUCUAAUCAAUUUGAGGUCGAUUAGGUGGUUGCACGCUCUUAUUUGCCUUCAGAUUUUGAUGUUACUGCUAGGGUUUCCGUUCUGCUAUGGAUUUUAGGCAGUUAAUCUAGGGUUUUAUGUAAAUCUGCAGAUGAAAUUGACUACUUAUCAAACUUCAGUCUUUGCAUCAAUUUUGGUGGUUAUUUCCUUGGAGUUGGUAAAAAUCGUGCAUAUGUCAAUAGAGAAAACAUGUGGUAUGAUUAUGUGGAGGGGGAUACACUUACUGUCGAGAAGUUAGAAGAUCUGGUAGAAGAAUUGGGCUAUGAAGUGAAGGGGAGAUUGCAAAUGUAUUACUGCAUGCCUGGUAAACCAAUGACUGAAGGUGGUCUUGUGAAGAUAACUUGCAAUGACAACUGUCUUAACAUGAGGGCACAUGUAACAUUUGGGCACAAAUUUUUGCAAAUGUAUCUUGAUCAUGAUGAGAGUUUCAGGCAGUUUGACUGGGAUGAUGUGAUAGAGUUUCCUGUAGCAGACCUGCCUACUGUUGUUAGUCCUAUCAAACCAAUUCAGAUCAUUAAGGAGGAAGCACUAGAGAAGCAUAAGAAGAAGAUUCAGCAGGAUUUAUUGGAUAGGAAAAUUAAGGAGGAAGCAGUGGAAAAAAUGCAGUGUACGUUUGUCACUCAUGUCACCAUUGCAGAUGAUGCAGACCUAGCAGAAGAAGAAGCUGCAGAACAAGCUGCAGAAGAAGCACUUGCAGAGCAAGAACCAGAAGGAACAAAUUCUGCAGAAGAAGCAGUUGCAGAGCAAGCAGCAGAAGAAGCAGUUGCAGAGCAAGCAGCAGAAGAAGCAGUUGCAGAGCAAGCAGCAGAAGAAGCAGUUGCAAAUGAGGAGGAAGAUGUGGAGCAGGGUGAAGAGGAUGGCUCUGUUGCAUAUGACAGUGAAGGGUCAGUUUCUGAUGUUGAAGUAAUUGGGAGUGAACAAGGAUCAGACUAUGCUGAUGAGAUUGUAGAUAGUGAUUAUAAUGUCAGUGAUUUAGAUGAUGAUCUUAAAGAGGAGACAGUGGAGGAGCCUAUUGAUGUUCAUAUUAGAGCAAAGUCAGACCCUGUACAAGGAUCAGAUGAAGAAGACCUAGAGCUCCCAGAUUCUGAUGAUGAAGCAGGUGCAAAGUACAAAUUUAAAAGCUUUAGGAAGGAAGAUUUGCAUGAUCCACAAUUCAAAAUUGGACAAGUUUUCCAUUCACCAGAAUUGUUUAGAAAAGCAGUGAGAGAAUAUGCUUGCAAAAAUAGAUUUGACAUCAAAUUGCCAGUAAAUGACAGGAAAAGAAUUUCAGCAAAAUGUCAGUCCCACUGCCCCUGGAACAUUUGGUGUAGUUAUGAUAGCAAAACAAACUGCAUGGUCAUCAAGAGUUACAAUGAUGAACACAAAUGUUCUAAGAAGUGGAAAGUAAAGGCAUUUACUGCUAGAUAUCUUGCAGAAAAGUACUUGGAGCACUUCAGGGCAGAUCAAGGAAUGAAUUUGAGAAAUUUUGGGAGGUUAGUUCAAAAGGAGUGGAAUAUGGCAGCUUCUUGUAGUAAACUAAGCAGAGCAAGGAGAUAUGCAUUAAAGAUAAUCCAUGGAGAUGAGGAGGCAUAGUACAACAUGCUUUGGGAUUAUGCAAAUGAAGUUAGAAGAUCCAACCCUGGCAGCACAUUUUUCAUUCAAUUGGACAAUGAAUCAAGGUUCAACAGAUGCUACUUCAGUUUUGAUGCAUGUAAAAGAGGAUUCCUUGCAGGGUGUAGGCCCAUAAUUUGUUUUGAUGGAUGUCAUUUGAAAACUAAGUAUGGAGGUGUGCUUCUGUCUGCAGUUGGCAUGGAUCCUAAUGAUUGUAUCUAUCCUGUGGCACACUGCAUUGUAGAUGUCGAAGAUACUAACACUUGGAGCUGGUUUAUGAGAACACUGAAACACGAUCUUGGGAUUCAGAACACCUCAGCAUGGACUGUCAUGUCUGAUAAGCAAAAGGUAAAGAUAUGUACAUAGUUACUUACAUACAUAUUGUCAUGUCUGAUAUUCACUUACUUACUGGCUAACUUACAAAACUUGCAGGGCCUAACAAAUGUUGUAUUGCAGCAUUUUCAUGACUCAGAACACAGAUUCUGUGUCAGGCACCUUUGGCAGAAUUUCAGAGAGAAAUAUAGAGGAGAUGUUCUGAAAAACCAGCUCUGGAAGAUAGCUAGGUGCACCACAACUGAUCAGUAUGAAGAAUAUAUGGAAGAGAUGAGACUUCUUGAUAGUGAGGCUCAUGCUUGGCUUGCAGAGAAGAGGCCUAACACUUGGGUUAGGGCAUUCCAGACUGAUUUGCCCAAAUGUGAUAUUUUACUAAACAACAAUUGUGAGGUUUUCAAUAAGUAAGUGGUACAUUUAUGUGUUCAUGUACUUGCUAUGUGUUCUUCAAUUGUUCAUGUACUUGCUAUGUGUUCUCUCUUCAUAAUGAAUUAGGUAUGUGUUAUCUCUUCAAAUACUUGUAGAUAUAUUUUGGAGGCUAGAGACUUGCCAAUCAUCAGCAUGAUUGAUAGAAUCAAGUCACAACUUUCAAGCAGACAUUAUAACAAGCAGCAAGAGGCUAAGAAAUUUAAUGGUCGAAUCUGCCCAAAGAUCAAGAAAAGGCUUCUGAAGCACAUAGAAUGGUCUAAUAGUUGUUACCCUACUAAUGCUGGAGAGGGAAUCUUCCAAGUUUCUUCACAUGGUAGGGAGUACAUUGUGGAGUUGCAGUUCAAGGCAUGCACAUGCAGAAGGUGGCAAUUAACUGGCAUUCCCUGCCCCCACUCCAUAGCUUGCUAUAGAGAUGAACUAAUUGAUCCUGAGGAAAUGGUGCACAAGUGUUAUGAUCUUUGCAAUUUCUCCAAAGCAUAUGCUUACAUUAUUAUGCCUUGCAAAGACAGGAGGGAGUGGCAGAAAAUGGGUGGUUGUGUAAUUAAGCCUCCUUUGUAUGAGAAGAAACUAGGGAGAAAGGCCAAGAAUAGGAGAAUGCAACUAGAGGAGGUAAUAGCAAAGAAAGGAGGGAAAAAGAUUACAAGACAUGGCACAAUUAUUCAUUGCAGCCAUUGCAACAAUCCUGGACAUAAUAAGAAAGGGUGCUCUGCCUUCAAGCAAGGCCUACCUGCAGCAAAACCUAUGCAGAAGAAAAUGAGGAAGAGGCCAAGAGCCACAUUUGAAGAAGAAGAACAAGAACCUACUCUGUCACAGGUAACAUUUGCAAAAAUUUCAGUGCUCGAUAUAUCCAUUUUAGCUUGUGGCUAAUAUUUCAGUGCUCGAUACAUCCAUUUUAGCUUCUGGCAAAUAUUUCAGUGCUCGAUAUAUCCAUUUUAGCUUGUGGCUAAUAUUUCAGUGCUCGAUACAUCCAUUUUAGCUUCUGGCAAAUAUUUCAGUGCUCGAUACAUUCAUUUAACCUUGUUGCAAAUGUGUAGGCUACAACACAAGAACAAGCACCUGGACCAUCAAUGACACAGGCAAGUGAGGAGCCUGUUGUCACACAGGAACAUGACAUGCCUCCAAUUGGAGCUCUUCAUCCACAUUCAAUGAUGGAAAUCAUGAGAAAUGAGGUAUAUCCAUUGAACCUUGUUAAAAAUAUGAUCUUGAUGUGAAAUACAUCUCAUGUUUCACUACUGUUACAGGCUCCUAAACCAAGGAAAAGAAAGGUGCCAACACCAUUGCCUGAAAGUUCUUUCCUCAAAGAAGCUAGAGCUGCAAUGCCAUCUGUAGGUAGCAGCACGGCAACAAGAUUAGGAAAUCUUGCAGCUAGAGUUGAAGUGAUGAGGGAGGCCAAGCAGCAAGCCAAUGAAAUAUUGCAUGAAAAGAGGUGUGCUGAAAUCCUAGCACAAAGGGAAGCUGCUGCUUUGCAAAAAGCAGGUGAAUUCCUUGCCAAGAAACAAGCUGAAAAGGCCAAAAAAGCUCAAGAAAAAGAAGCUUUGAAAGCAGAGGCAAGAAAAAAGAGAGAGCAAGAAUUUGAGGCCAAGAAGCUUGCAGCAGCAGCUAAAAAACAAGAACUAAUGGAGGCAAAGAAGAGGGCUGCAGAAGAGAAGAAAGCAGCAGCGAAAGCAAAGAAAAUUAUUGCACUGCAAAAGAAAGCAGCUGCUGCAACAAAUAAGCACAAGAAAGUUAACAUGUUUGAUGAAUUCAGGUCCUGAAUGACCAUUUAAUGUAAUGGAUGAAGUAUUUUGCAAUUUCUAGAUGUUAAGACAAGUUCAGUUACUGUAGAUGUAAUUUUCUCUUCAGUACUAUAUGAUUUUCAAAUACUUAUGUGUGUUAUCAAGGAGCUAUGAAUGACCAGUUUCUAUUAUGCUAAAUAAAUGGUGUUAUCAAAUUCAUGUUCUUCAUUUGUUCAACAGUAAAAUGCAUGUUCAGUUCAGUACUGUUCUGUGUUAUCAACUGCAAACUUUUAAAUUUCAGUCUUAUUCCUUCUUGUCAGUGUUCAACAUGUUAUUAAAUGCAUGUUCAGUAAAGGAAGAAACAUUUUCCACUUCUCCAAUUUCCAACAGCAAAGUUGUCUCCACACAAAGGUUUCUAUUACCACUGACAUCAAACAACACAAAAGUCUCCUUCUUACUUAGCAAUUGCCAACAUUGACAACAAUCACAUCCUAACUAGAACUAACACUAACACAAAGAGAAUUGCAAAUAGCAGUACAACUACUAUCUUCAUUACAACAACCAAGUCUGUAACAUCUCAUGGAAGUGAUUUUAGCAGCAGCAGCAUUUUCAUCAUAUCUUCAGGAUCCACUUCUGUCGUGUUCUUCUUUUUCUUCAUCUCUACUACUUUACUAUCCACAGAUUCACCUCUCAGAUGUCCAUUUACCUUCAAAUAAUCAAUGUAACUAGCUUCCCAGUGCCAAAAGUUGCAAGGUUUCUUCCCUGCCUAUUUGACAAAAUCAAGAACAAAUCUGAAAAUCAAAUUAAGAAGAACAACAUCCAGUCAAUGUUCUUGUGCUAACCUUAUGAUUCAUACACUUGUACAAGAUCCAUCCAGGAUGCUUUUCAGUGGUGGACUCAAACCGCCUAAUCUGGCGAAUCUUGCAAUCAGGGCAUUGGAUCAAAGGAAGCCAACCCGCACCGGCCCCCGAUGAGCUACCCGCGCCGGACAUGGGAGCAGAGGAUGCAACUGGAGAUCUCAUGCAACUGUUGGAUCCAAGCGACAGUGGAGGGGAUGAGAGAUUGCGCUAGGGAUUUAGCAGUCCGAUGAGGGGAACGAGAGGGGAAUCGACAGGGGAGGGGAGAGGAUGAAGAAACCCUCGACGUGUCAUGUCCAGCUGGCGAGUCAAAGCGGGUUUCUGGUCAAAUCGGGCCGAUACGAGCCGAAACGGUAUGGGUUACCGUAUAGUGACCUGGUUCAGCGAGCCCGGUGACCGUAACUUGCGAUUUCGUGAAUACAGUGACCAAAAUGAACCCUAGAGUCAAGUUCAGUUACUAUAGAUGUAAUUUUCUUCCCCGCCGCUCUGACGGCAUUUUUCUUGAGCACAAACUCACCCACACCAGUUACAACGCCAGGGCACACACCCCACGUCCCAGCCCACGCCGAGCGCUCGGUCCGGCCCGCUCUGGCCACGCCCGCGACAUGCACGCACACGUCCGGGUCGUGGCGAGCCCGCAUCGGACCAACUCAACGCACCCCCUAAACUCGCCAGCAGAAUGCUCCUACACACACGUGCAUACACACGCACGCACCCACAUACACCUGCCAUGAGCCCGACGCAGCCCGAACGCGCGCACGCACACGCGCCCGACGCGUCUCGCCGUGGCUUAUUGCCCAUCACAGGGACCGCCACGGGAAGCUCCUCAGGUCGCCUGACCCCGUCGUGAACAAGCUCCUCGCCACGCCACGUUCGUGCUGUCCGAGGACCGACACGCUCGCCCGCGAGGCGGCGUGUCGCCGCUGCCGCCUCGCGCCACGUCGAUGAUCGCGACGUACGGCUUCAUCUGGCACUGUUACUACUGUGCGAAAGAAAGCAGCUGCGGUAACGACGACCGCGCCUGCACGCGGCGACGGCUGAGGUGGUGCAGGAGAUGGCGGCGACGGGCGCGGUGGGGAAGCUGUGCCUGGUGGCGCCGGCGGCGCCGGAGGAUGGGUGCCAGGGCAUAGCGGAGCUCGCCGUGCUUGCACCAGGUGGCCAAGGAGCGGGACGAGGCGCGCAACCAGGUGCAGCAGCUGCUCCUCGCUGCCGCGGCCGCCAAUCAGGCGGCGGCGCUAGACUCCUCCCUCGAUAGCUGCACUCGCUCACGUCUGUGCCGGCGAACUCCAUGACACUCGACGUGGAAUGUCCGUGAGUCCGUCUAGGAUUCAUCCGAUCUGGAUGAGUUGAAUAUGCAUGUAUACAUAAUUAUCAGAGUAUACAUGUGCAUAGUCACGCUGUAGAGGAGAGCAAGCGAAUGUACAUGGAGCAGUAUCUUUUCAGCCUGAAUCUUUGUAGUGGGUUUCUUGCACCAAAUAAUUGAAGUGAGAGCUUGUUGCACUAAGCACAGAACACUAAGCACAGAACAGCAGUGAACACAAUGAUUUCAUACACGAGGGAAGCAGUGAAUGAAAAUAUUCAUAGUAGUUUAGAAUGAGCGAUUACAAGCUACAAUGGAACAAUACACUUUGCAUAUGUUUAAAUGCUGGUAAACUUGCUGAUGAGAUGUUGAUGCAAACAUCCCUCUCUCUCUCUCUUCUCUGGUUUGAUUCAAGAGAAAUGAGUACACCAAUCUUUCUAGCUAGUUUGGUGAAGCCAGGGCAGUUUACUGUGAUUUUCCUUUUUCUUUUUGCCAAUUAAGCAAUCAGCUGCCCGGCGCACUUGCAGUAGGAAAGGAUCAUGUUGAUGACGAGCAGCUGCAUGGGUCACGGACGAGAAGCCAUGUACGGUCUUGGCCGUCGGCGACGAGGUCCUUUGACUUGGCCAUCAUGUACUGAGAGCGCGAACAAGAGCAAACUAUCGAAGGAGCUGGUCCGGCCGCCCGUGAUGGGUCUCGGAAUGGGAUCUUGGUGCGGCCGCUAUGAACCGUAGAGUACGGCCGCUCAUGUCGUCCAUCGGAAUGAGUCUCUCGUGAUAGUAUAUGAGACAGAGACACGGUCUUAUAGGAUUUUUUCGAGGUGAAUCCCAUGUCAAACUUAACAGUCGAGGCUUACACAUGGGCCCGCCCAUCCAUAAACGUGUUUAAACUGGCCAAACGGGCAAGUAAUGCGAAGAGGUAGCAAUUUGAGACGAAUUAACCUAAAAAUGAUGUCCGAAAAUGUAAUGUGGCAGUAGUGUUUUCUUUUUUCGGAACAGAAGCCACGAAAGUGAUACCAGUGCUUCGUAGUGACGUGGUGUCUUGUCGUCUACAGUACUGCACGAACUGGAGACCAAGUCAUGGCCGAGACGUGCAGCAGAAGAACCAUUGGCAUGUCGUUCCUGCCGGUUGGACAUAAGCAUCAUACGCGGCGAUGAUCCGCCGGUCGUCCGCUAGUUGGGCGUGCAAGUCGCGCGAGGUACCGAACAAACUUCCACCAUGCAGAAAACCCAACCAUCUUCUACACUAAUGUUAUGUAAACUUGCUAAACUACACCCGCGCCGCGCCACGCCGGAAGGAGGCAUCAAACAGGCCGGAGUUAAUUACACGAUAGUACCACAUUUGGAACCACAUUUGGAACGAUGGUGGCGAAUUGAUACCACUUUUGAAAAAAUUUAUGUGUCAGUACCACGUUUGAGUCGAACCGUUGCGAAUCGGGCUAAACCUCGUAUUUCUACGUAUUGACGCUGGAACUGACCGCCCGGGCCCGCGCGUCAGCUGCCAUGCUGGCAAAUCGGUACUCGCCCGCUCGCUCGAUAGGCGCGGUCCGGCUCGAACCGGACCGGCCCGUGCUUUGUCUCUCUCUCCUUUCCUCUCUUCCUCUUUUCGUCGACGAACCCUAGCUCCACCGCACGUCUGUACGGUGAUGGCGGCGGCAACCCCGGGCGGUGGUGGCGGCAGCGGCGGUGGCGGCAACGGCGAUGGCGGCGGCGCAAACAAUCCCCUCUUCGGCAGCUGCGCGGCAGGAGGAAUCGACGGGAGAUCUCCAAUCGAGGGCGGCGACGGCUACUCGAGCUCUGACUUGUAUUCCAGCGACGACGACGAGUUCAUGGAGCCCGCACUGUCCAUGGAGCAGCGGGUACGGCUGGCACAGCAAUGGGUGGCGAACCCUAGCUGUAGCCACGAGCUGACCCACGGCUUCGGCGGCGUCCUGUAAGUUUUCUCUCUUUUUUUCUUCUCAUUUAAUUUGCAAUUAGGGUUAUAGUGUACUGAUUAGGAAAAAUGCAUGUGAAUUGUAGUUUAUAUGAAGACAUAUGAAAUGUUAGGAUCCAUUUUGACAAUAAUGAUCUGUUAGAGAGGAAGUUAAGUUGUUCAGAUGUGACAUAUCUGAAUAUGGUUGCUUUGAUGGAAACACAAGGCUUUAGUAUUGAUGAUUCACUGCUGUUUUACAUGGAGACCCCAGGAGAGCAGGGUUUGGAAUUGGUUGAUAGUAAUGUUAAACUACAGUUGAUCAAGAGGCGGAAUAAGGAGAGUUUGGUGCUUAAUUUGUUAUUUAGGGCUUGUCCACCAGCUGUUAGUGUAGCACAGAAGGGUUUUGCAGAGAAGCAAAAUUUAGAUCCUAUUGUUUAUUCUGAGCCUGUGGUUUAUGAUCUGGCUGAUCCUCCUGUUUAUGCUGUUGAUCAGCAAGGUGUUGCUUAUGAACGUCAGAGUAGCUGCUCUAUUGCACCUGUAGGCCCUGCUGUUUUAACACAAGAGAGCAGGAGUGUUGUAAAUCCAAAGUUAAAAGAAGUUGUGGAAGAAGAACAAGAUGGCUAUGAUGCCAGUUAUGCAUCUUCAUCUGAAGGGCAAUAUGACAAUGACACUAACCCUUAUUAUAUGGGGGGUUUAAGGCCUAACUAUAAUGAGGAAAUGAAUGAUGCUGAAGACAUGGAGAUGGAAGAGGGAAAUAGACAGAGAGAACCAGAAGAGGAAGAGGAAGAAGUACAAGAACAACAUGAGGAAGAAACAGAGGAAGAAGAAUCAGAAGAAGAAACAGAGAAGGAAGAACCAGUGCAUUAUGAGGGUGACACAGAGGUAGAGGAAUUAUUUUAGUUGGAGGAUGAUGAGCCUAUUGUUCAAGAAAAGGAAGAAAAAAUAUCUGUGCCAGCAAAGAAGAAGCAGAAGAUGCAAGUAAGGAGGGGACCAACAACAAGGUCACAUUCUAGUGUUUUAGAAGAAGUGCAACCUGAUUGGAAACCAUCAUCAGAUGAAGAAGAUAAUAGUUUACUUAAGGACAGUGAAGAUGAUGGGUUUCAGCCACUAGCAUUUGUGCUACCUGAAAAAAGGAAGAGCAGGGCAAAGAAGAGGCCACCUAGAGUAUGGUACAAUGAGGAUUUGGAGCAACCACACCAACAACUACAACUGCAAAUGUGUUUCAGAGAUCAACAUCAAUUCAGAGAUGCAUUGUUGAGCCUGCACAUCACUCAGUGCAGAGACUUCAAGUAUCACAGGAACUCAGAUCAGAGGAUCAUUGUGCAUUGCAAGAAUUUCACAAUGCAAGUUCUGCAUUGUGGCAGCUGUUAUAAAAGGGGAAAACACUUUUGCAAUUAAGAAGAUGAGAUUACAACACACUUGCCCUAGUUCUACUGAAACAAGCAGGGGUAAGUGCCAAGUGGCUUGCAAAGCAAUAUGAGCCACUAUUCAGAUCUGAUGUCAGUACUAGCAUACAUACACUUAUUGAUGCCUGCAUGGAAAAGUAUGGUGUGGAUGUGCCCAAGGCAAUGGCAUAUAGGGCAAAAAACCUAGCUGUUGAGGCUGUGUUGGGAGAUCAUAGGAAGCAAUACCCAAGGCUGAGAGACUAUGCUCAGACUGUCAUGGAUACAAACCCUGGGAGUAGGGUUGUAGUCACCAUUGUAACUCCAGCACCCACUCAAAAAAUCCCACAUCCAGGAUCCAGAUUCCAUGCAAUGUUUUACUGCAUCAAUGGAGCAAGGGAGGGAUUUCUACAGGGGUGUAGACCAUUCAUUGGUUAGUUCAUUUUAGCUUGUGCACUACUUUGAUUUUUUUAGUUUCAAUAGCUUGCACAUAUAAAUGCAUUUAACAUGUUAUGUUUACAUCCUGUUUUAGGUGUUGAUGGAUGUUUUAUCAAGCUGACCACUGGUGCACAAAUCCUGGCUGCCACUGGUAGAGAUGGCAAUAACAACAUAUACCCACUGGCAUUUGGCAUUGUUGGACAAGAGGACAAAGCAAACUGGUGCUGGUUUCUACACCAACUGAAGAUUUGUCUUGGAGGAGAAGUUGGACAGUAUGGUCCAUAUACUAUAAUGUCAGACAGACAGAAGGUAUGUCUAUCCACCUUGCAUUGCCUGCUAAAUAUGUGUUGACAUGUGUAUUACACAGUAGCUUAGCUGUUUAAAUUGUGUGCACCAGGGGCUACUAUAUGCAGUGAGUAAAGUUUUUCCUAACAGUAAUCAAAGAUUCUGCUUAAGACACAUAUAUGCAAACUUCCAAAAUGCUGGCUUUAGGGGGGAAGACCUUAAGAAGUGCAUGGAUAAACCUAACCAUUAGGGUUUACGGUGACUCGGGGUCGACGGAGCCACCUAAACCUAACCAUUAGGGUUUAUGGUAACUCGGGGUCGACGGAACCACCUAAACAUAGGCUUCCAUGCAUGAUAUAACAUAACCAUCUAAUAAUCCAGUGCUAACAUAACCAUCAAGUAGUCUUCCAAUGCUAACAUAAUCAUCAAAACCUAGUGCAUGAGAAAUCAUAAUCUGAAGUCUAGCAAACAUAACACAGAAUAUCUGAUCCAGCAAUCAUAACACACAAUACUUACUACAGUUCAACAUAUUAUAAAGUACACAACCAUUGUUCACAAUACAUAGUGGAGUUUAGAUGCAUAGUUCAUCCUUUUCUUACAAAAGGAUGAAAAUCAUAUCUACUACAUACAUACACAGUCAUAGUUCAUCUUAGAGAAGUUCACAUUUAGUAGAGCCAUACACUACACAACCAUCAUGCCCAAAAGGUCAGCAUUGCCCACUACUCUCAUAUUCAUUUUCUUCACUUCUCUAAGAUGGCCUGGAUCCCCUUGAUCUUCUCCUUCAGCUUCUCCUCUGCCUUAAUCAGCUCAGCAAUCUGAAGCUCUAGCUGCCCCUUCUCUUCACCAUGCUUUUCCUUUCCCUUGAGCAAAUCAGUAACCUGAAACUUCAACUCUAGCUUAUCUUGGGUGAGCUUCUCCUCAGACUUUGUGAGCUCUGCAUUCUUCAACUCCAAGUUCAUCUUAGCUUCAGUAAGCAAUUGCUUAUCAGUAAUAUGCUUCAACUUCAGGUUCUGGAUGACUGUAGCUUGAGCUCUUGUCAGGUUCAGUAGCACAUCAUAAUUCUGCUUAAACUUCUCAAACUCUGCAUCUUUCUUUGUCAUCUGUGCAUUCAUAUCAGCCACCAGUUCACUUCUGCAUUCAUGCUGAUAUGUAAUGGCAGACUGCAGAUGUCUGAAAUCCACCACCCUAUCCUCCUGGAAGCUCAUAAGCUGAUGCACAUCUUGGACUAGCUUGUCAUAGUUGGCCUCCAGGUUGUUCUUCUCUUCUGUCAGAUGGUGGAUAGUGAAAGAACUUUCAAGAUUAUCAUUCACCCUAGCACUUUUGCUAUCUUCAACCAUUGCCCACAGCUUCAACAAUGCAUUUUGCAUUGUUGGGGGUCACUGGUGAUCAACCCAUUCAACAAACCCACAAUUCUGCCCUUCCUGCAAAAAGAAAAAAAAAGAUAAAAAAUAAACAAGUUAGUGCAUAACUAGUGCAAAGCAAUAACACUGUUUUGUCCUUUCUACAUUGGUAAUAAUAACAACAUUAAGCUACACUGGUAAUUGAGAUGUACCUACCCACUAAAUAACAACAUGACAAAUUACAACACUAGUCAGCUACAGAUUUAAACUAGUUUUUGCUAAUCACCUACAAAAGCAAUCUCAAACUGCAAAUUUGGUGAACUGCCAAAGCAUUUGCAGUACAUACUAUCCAUUCAACUGAAUAUUUGUAGCAUUUACAUACAUAACAACAGGUGCAUCCCAACAUAAAACUAACAGUUCAAUCAAUAUUUAGUUACAAACAGGAGCUAAAGUAACAGCAACAUAAUUAACAGUACCACUGUCAUUCAACUACAUAAAAAUGCCACAAUAACAACUUAAAACCUGUAGAAGUCUCAAACUGAAUAUUUCACAUGUGGGCAAAAACAAUCCCACCGCAAAAUAACAGUACCACUGUCAUUAAACUACACAAGCUACUAUUGUUGCAAAAGUGAAUAAUCAGCCCUAACAAAAUGACAGUAAAGAUUCCACUGCCAAGUUAAAUAUGCCCUAAUAAUCAGCCCUUUUACUAAUGUGAACAUACUAUAUAGCAGAUCAGUUAUCCUUGUGACAUGUAAGUCUCCCUUUAUCACUUUUUCUUGUAAACUCAUGUAAAAGUGAUAAGGUUAUGCAUGUUAGCUUGGAACAUGAGGGAUGUGCGCAUGAGGAAUAAUAUGACAUAUAAUAUCCCACUAUCAGCCUACAGUUCAUACCGGCUCUGUACAUGCUAAGAACCUUCUCCCUGUGUAUGUUCCUUCAAAUGCGACAAGCCUCUCAGAUGCCUUCCCGUGCUUCUCACAUACCGACAUCGUUUCCAGCUCAAGCCCGUGGUAAUCUGGAUCUUCAACGCUGAAAGGGACCCGCCAAAGCUCGUACAAACAAAAUGCCCAAAUCAAAACCCAGCGAAAUCAAUCAAAUCAAAAAACCCAAAUCUGUAACCCUAACCCUAAACCUAGCUCAAGGAAAAUCACCUGGCUUAGCCCGUCCAUGGAUGAGGUCGAGUGCAUGUACGGCAGGCUGGAAGUGUCGUCACUGCUUUCGUCUUCGAAAACCAUGGCGGGCGGCGGCGGUCCGAUCCGGCAACGCUGCGGGCGCCGACGAGGGCGGCGAGAGGAGCGAGCAGAGAGGCACGAGCGAGGAGGAAGAGAGACAGAGCACGGGCCGGUCCAGUUCGAGCCAGACCGCACCUAUCAAGCGAGCGGGCGGGUACCGAUUCGCCAGCGUGGCAACUGACGCGCGGGCCCGGGCGGUCAGUUCCAGCGUCAAUACAUAGAAAUACGAGGUUUAGCCCGAUUCACAACGGUUCGACUCAAACGUGGUACUGACACGUAAAAAUUUUCAAAAGUGAUAUCAAUUCGUCACCACCGCCCCAAAUGUGGUACUAUCGUGUAAUUAACUCAACAGGCUGCAGUCUAGCGCGUGGCUUGCCGCUUUCGUCCGGGGCGCACCCGGCGAUGACUGCAAGAAGCACCAAUAUCCAUAUCCAGGCGGCUGUCUUUCCCCCAAUAAGCAUCAACAGCUAGCGCCCUGCUUAAACAGCCGAAUUUCCAUGUUUCAUGAGCAGCCCAAAAGAAAAAGACCCCCCCAAGAUGCCAACUAGAGUUUACUGGCAGUAUGCCAAGGCAAACCAAUGCAAUGUCGUGCACUGGUACAUCAAAAGUCUGGUAUUUACCACCAUGCCAGCAUCUCAAAAUAGAUGACCAUGAACAACAACACGUCUCAACGGUGCCACAUAACAACACCUACAGAUGGUAACAAUUUCACCAAUGAUUCUGUGGCAACAUGUAAUCUUUAGAUUCACAUAAACUAGCAGAAGAAGCUGUCCUGGAGGAAUCAAUAGAGCCAUCACUCAUCAGUAAGUCCUGGAGGAGUCGAAACUAGCAAAACGACUCAUCAUACUGCAGUUACUUUAAGCCUUGUUACGGCAGCCACGGUCCUCGAACUGCUAACUGUCACUGGCAUCUCUGGUCUUGCAUGCUUUACCAUCUGAAACAUAUUGCCGCACCUUAAGGUUUGCCGAGAAAACAAAAGCAUAUAGCAAAUGUUCUUUUCAAAUGCAUGCAACAGCAACCAAAAUGGCUAAGAACGGGGCAAUCUACAUUCUAUAACUAAGUCCAAAUGCAGCAGCAGGUCAUCUUUUGAGUUGUAACCAUUGGAUUUAUAAAAAUUCCCUCUCACUCAAACAGAAGGCUUUAUUAAAAUUCUCUUUUGAUCAGUUGGAUUUAAAUACACUAUUAUGCAUACAGGCACUGGGAGCCAGGUUGCUGAGACAUAAAACUUUUACUGGGAAUUCGAGAGAAAUGACUAUAGUUGAUAAUAAUUCGGUAAUCCACUUCUGAGCCCAGGCUCAGCUGCCAUUUUUGCAUAUCAUCACUAUAGAAAUUCAGCAUGUUACUAACACCGAGUAUACCCUAGCAUUAUUAAAUAUGCUAGUACAUAAUUUUAAAAAAAUUAGAGCACCGGAAUUGAAAAUAAGCUUAACCAGAACAUUAAGAAAACAAUUUUUCUGAACAGAAAGUUUACCUUAACAUCACCCCUGGUUAACGGGUCUUGGAGGUCGUGGCAGUAAAGAGUAUAGUACCAGAAAAACACCAUGAUUCCUUGAAAUGACAGUCGCAUCCACUGAAGCAGUUGGAUUCUGUAAUAAUAAAUGUCAGAUCUGCCCUUGUUGCAUAUUGCAAACAUCGAAUAAACGGAUACAAUUAGUACCUUCAACUCCACCUCAUGAGUAUAAAUACCUGUUAUGGCCGGCCGGCUUAGGCCGCAAGUUAUCUUAGUUUUUAUUUUCAGAUUAGGCAAGUUAUCUUAGGCAAGUUAUCUUAGGUUGAUUAUUCUACAAGUUAUCUAGGAUAUAAAUAUAGGUUGUAAGACUCUUUUUGAAGGCAAGCAAUAAGAAGAAUAUUAUCUCCUAUUGCCCGGCUCCCUGAGGAGCCGGAACCCUAGCCGCCAACAGCCCUAGCCGCCGCCCUUCUCCUAGCCGCGACGGCGCCCUGCCGUCGGCGCGCCCGAUCCUCUCCACGUCUCCCUCCAUCCUUCCCUUACCACCUACGCCCUAGACCUGGUAGAGUACUUGAUCCUACCAAUUUGGUAUCAGGUAACCGGGUUUCGACCAUGUCUCCGCCAAUUCCACCGCCACCACCACCGCUGCCCGUCAACUCCUCCACCACCGCCGCCUCUGCGCCGGGCGUCACGGCCUCGCUCUCGGCGGGCACCACUGCGUCGCUCUCAGCGCCGGUCCUAACGGCACCCGGCACCACGCCGGGCCAAGGGCAGCCACAAGCCCCCGUCCAACACUCGUCGCCGCCAUCACCUCCCUCGCAGCCGCAACAGUUCACGCCGGAGGCCAUGGCGGGCGUCCUCAACGACCUCGUCACCGCGGUUCAAGGGAUCCGCCUCUACCUGGCAGGUCCGUACGGGCCGCCCCCACCACUCCAUCCAGCCAUGGCCGCGGGUCAGCAGGCGCUUCCGUGGUACUCGGCAUCGAGGGCCAUCACCGGACUCCAUCCAGCCAUGGCCGCGGGUCAGCAGGCGCUUCCGUGGUACUCGGCACCGGGGGCCGUCACCGGAGGCUACCCGGCGCUCCUCGCCCCAGCGGCCGCACGGCCGCCUUGGGCGCAGUGGCCGCCGCAGAUCGCGCCGGCAGCCCCGCCACUUCUCGCCACCACGGGGCCGCAGUGGCCCACCUGGACCGCGCCGGCCGCGCCGUCCUCCGUCGCGCCCUACCUUCCAGCGGCCUCGGAGCAGGGUCCUCCACCGGCCCCGCCCAGCCCUAACCUGGGCACCGGCGCCUCGGAGCAGGGCCAGACCCAGCAGCUUCUUCCGGCGUCACCGCCGGCCCCCACGCCGCAGGCGCCGGUGCAGCUCCACCANNNNNNNNNNNNNNNNNNNNNNNNNNNNNNNNNNNNNNNNNNNNNNNNNNNNNNNNNNNNNNNNNNNNNNNNNNNNNNNNNNNNNNNNNNNNNNNNNNNNNNNNNNNNNNNNNNNNNNNNNNNNNNNNNNNNNNNNNNNNNNNNNNNNNNNNNNNNNNNNNNNNNNNNNNNNNNNNNNNNNNNNNNNNNNNNNNNNNNNNNNNNNNNNNNNNNNNNNNNNNNNNNNNNNNNNNNNNNNNNNNNNNNNNGCAGUGGCCGCCGCAGAUCGCGCCGGCAGCCCCGCCACUUCUCGCCACCACGGGGCCGCAGUGGCCCACCUGGACCGCGCCGGCCGCGCCGUCCUCCGUCGCGCCCUACCUUCCAGCGGCCUCGGAGCAGGGUCCUCCACCGGCCCCGCCCAGCCCUAACCUGGGCACCGGCGCCUCGGAGCAGGGCCAGACCCAGCAGCUUCUUCCGGCGUCACCGCCGGCCCCCAUGCCGCAGGCGCCGGUGCAGCUCCAUCAGGCGCCGCCGCCAUCGACAGUACCACCACCCGCGCCUAGGGCUACGGGUCGGCCCCUGCACCAGGUGCAGUAUCCACCGUCACCAUCGCCGAUCCCCGCUUGGGCGACCGGCUCGUCUUCAGGGCCGGUCUACUCCACGGCGCCGGAACACCCGACGCCCUCCCUGCGGUUUGAUCACCCCUCCAGCUCGGCGAACUACGCCCCGACGCUUCCCGACCCAGCAUACGCGCCGGCGGCAACUACGGCCGCCCCCGGGCACGGCGGGCCGACACCCCCUCGCUUCGCCAAACUGGACUUCGCCACCUACAAGGGCACGGAGGACCCCCUCAACUGGCUCAACCAGUGCGAGCAGUUCUUUCGAGGGCAGCGGACGCUCGCUUCGGAUCGCACCUGGCUCGCGUCCUAUCAUCUUCGAGGCGCAGCGCAGACCUGGUACUACGCCCUCGAGCAGGACGAGGGCGGCAUGCCACCAUGGGAGCGCUUCCGGGAACUCUUGUCUCCUCCGGUUCGGGCCUCCUAUCCGCGGGAGCCGACUGGCGGCCCUCGGCCGCUUACCCUUCACAUCCACGGUGCAGGACUACGCCGACCGCUUCCAGGCCCUGGCGUGCCACGCGCCGGGCGUCUCCGCAACUCAGCGCGCCGAGUUAUUUGUGGGCGGUCUACCGGACCAUAUCCGCGUGGACGUGGAGCUUCGGGGACCCCAGGAUCUCCAGUCGGCCAUGUAUUACGCCCGCGCAUUCGAGCGCCGCGCGGUGGCCAUCCAGCAGGAAUCACCGUCCCAGACUGCUGGGUCGCUACCCGGACCAGAUUCCGCCUAGGGUCGGCCUGUGCAGGCUUCUGCGGCACCCCUCGCCGCGACCGCGGGGCGCCCGUUCCGCCGGCUCACCCCAGCUGAGAUACUCGAGCGUCGCCGCCAAGGGUUGUGCUUCAACUGCGACGAACCCUACAAGCCCGGCCACGCCUGCCCGCGACUCUUCUACCUGGAGGUGGCAGACUACAUUCCGGAGGAAGCCGUCGCCGCCGACCUGGCCGCCCCAGAUGUCGCGAAGGUGUUUGACGCUGGUUGAUUACCUCGAAGAGUUCAAGCAAGCGCUUCCCCACCUUACAGCUCGAGGACGAGCUGUUUGUGCAGGCGGGGAGAAGUGUUAUGGCCGGCCGGCUUAGGCCGCAAGUUAUCUUAGUUUUUAUUUUCAGAUUAGGCAAGUUAUCUUAGGCAAGUUAUCUUAGGUUGAUUCUUCUACAAGUUAUCUAGGAUAUAAAUAUAGGUUGUAAGACUCUUUUUGAAGGCAAGCAAUAAGAAGAAUAUUAUCUCCUAUUGCCCGGCUCCCUGAGGAGCCGGAACCCUAGCCGCCAACAGCCCUAGCCGCCGCCCUUCUCCUAGCCGCGACGGCGCCCUGCCGCCGGCGCGCCCGAUCCUCUCCACGUCUCCCUCCAUCCUUCCCUUACCACCUACGCCCUAGACCUGGUAGAGUACUUGAUCCUACCAAUACCACUAAUAAACUGCACAUAACAGACCCUGCUGUUAAAAUCAUAUGCACCGAGGUUAUUCCUCUCUUGGUACUUAAUCAUCAGGUCAAGGAAACCAUCGUAGUCAUCAUUGUUCCAAGGCAAAGUACACACGUCCUGUUCUGCAUCAAUUUUUGCUCUGUUGGAGUGGCUGAGCAUAGCCAAGGGGACUUCAGAAACAAAAAAAAUCUUUUCGCUCAACUCGAGUCCAAAAAAAGGGACAAGUUCUAAUCUCAUCCAUGAUAUAAUGCAUCUCUCCCCGAGUGGGCACUAUCUGAACGCAUGGGCAUCUGCACCCACUUUUAAAAAACUGCAUUUUAAGCAUGUUUUGAAAUGUUAAAAAAAUAACAGAAAAUUGUAUGCAUACAUGUUCGCAAAUGUGUGUGCACACGGCAUAAAGUUUUGUGAAAAAAUGUCUUUCUGGUUUGCCUUCAUAAAAAGACAAAUUUCAGUGCUUCUAAAUAGCGUUUCACGACACAAUUUUUUGUCUUUUUUGCACAGGGCUCAAAAAAAGUUAUUUUUUCGUAAAACUUUAUGCACGCACAUAGAACAUGAAGAUGUAUCCGUGCAAACUUUUUUAGAUUUUUUUGGCAUUUAGAAAUGUGUUUUUUAAAGUGAGUUCAUAUGUAC